Molecule: ribosomal RNA, 1372 nt
Filed under: uncultured bacterium
Lineage: Bacteria
Description: bacterial SSU rRNA
Rfam family: Bacterial small subunit ribosomal RNA
Source: RNAcentral
GAUGAACGCUGGCGGCGUGCCUAAUACAUGCAAGUCGAGCGAACGGACGAGAAGCUUGCUUCUCUGAUGUUAGCGGCGGACGGGUGAGUAACACGUGGAUAACCUACCUAUAAGACUGGGAUAACUUCGGGAAACCGGAGCUAAUACCGGAUAAUAUUUUGAACCGCAUGGUUCAAAAGUGAAAGACGGUCUUGCUGUCACUUAUAGAUGGAUCCGCGCUGCAUUAGCUAGUUGGUAAGGUAACGGCUUACCAAGGCAACGAUGCAUAGCCGACCUGAGAGGGUGAUCGGCCACACUGGAACUGAGACACGGUCCAGACUCCUACGGGAGGCAGCAGUAGGGAAUCUUCCGCAAUGGGCGAAAGCCUGACGGAGCAACGCCGCGUGAGUGAUGAAGGUCUUCGGAUCGUAAAACUCUGUUAUUAGGGAAGAACAUAUGUGUAAGUAACUGUGCACAUCUUGACGGUACCUAAUCAGAAAGCCACGGCUAACUACGUGCCAGCAGCCGCGGUAAUACGUAGGUGGCAAGCGUUAUCCGGAAUUAUUGGGCGUAAAGCGCGCGUAGGCGGUUUUUUAAGUCUGAUGUGAAAGCCCACGGCUCAACCGUGGAGGGUCAUUGGAAACUGGAAAACUUGAGUGCAGAAGAGGAAAGUGGAAUUCCAUGUGUAGCGGUGAAAUGCGCAGAGAUAUGGAGGAACACCAGUGGCGAAGGCGACUUUCUGGUCUGUAACUGACGCUGAUGUGCGAAAGCGUGGGGAUCAAACAGGAUUAGAUACCCUGGUAGUCCACGCCGUAAACGAUGAGUGCUAAGUGUUAGGGGGUUUCCGCCCCUUAGUGCUGCAGCUAACGCAUUAAGCACUCCGCCUGGGGAGUACGACCGCAAGGUUGAAACUCAAAGGAAUUGGCGGGGACCCGCACAAGCGGUGGAGCAUGUGGUUUAAUUCGAAGCAACGCGAAGAACCUUACCAAAUCUUGACAUCCUUUGACAACUCUAGAGAUAGAGCUUUCCCCUUCGGGGGACAAAGUGACAGGUGGUGCAUGGUUGUCGUCAGCUCGUGUCGUGAGAUGUUGGGUUAAGUCCCGCAACGAGCGCAACCCUUAAGCUUAGUUGCCAUCAUUAAGUUGGGCACUCUAAGUUGACUGCCGGUGACAAACCGGAGGAAGGUGGGGAUGACGUCAAAUCAUCAUGCCCCUUAUGAUUUGGGCUACACACGUGCUACAAUGGACAAUACAAAGGGCAGCGAAACCGCGAGGUCAAGCAAAUCCCAUAAAGUUGUUCUCAGUUCGGAUUGUAGUCUGCAACUCGACUACAUGAAGCUGGAAUCGCUAGUAAUCGUAGAUCAGCAUGCUACGGUGAAUACGUUCCCGGGUCU